Molecule: ribosomal RNA, 560 nt
Filed under: uncultured Xanthomonas sp.
Lineage: Bacteria; Pseudomonadati; Pseudomonadota; Gammaproteobacteria; Lysobacterales; Lysobacteraceae
Description: bacterial SSU rRNA
Rfam family: Bacterial small subunit ribosomal RNA
Source: RNAcentral
CAGUGGGGAAUAUUGGCACAAUGGGCGCAAGCCUGAUCCAGCCAUGCCGCGUGUGUGAAGAAGGCCUUCGGGUUGUAAAGCACUUUUGUUGGGGAAGAAAACCCGUCGGUUAAUACCUGGUGGGAAUGACGGUACCCAAAGAAUAAGCACCGGCUAACUUCGUGCCAGCAGCCGCGGUAAUACGAAGGGUGCAAGCGUUACUCGGAAUUACUGGGCGUAAAGCGUGCGUAGGCGGUUGGUUAAGUCUGCUGUGAAAGCCCUGGGCUCAACCUGGGAACUGCAGUGGAUACUGGCCAGCUAGAGUGUGUCAGAGGAUGGUGGAAUUCCCGGUGUAGCGGUGAAAUGCGUAGAGAUCGGGAGGAACACCAGUGGCGAAGGCGGCCAUCUGGGACAACACUGACGCUGAGGCACGAAAGCGUGGGGAGCAAACAGGAUUAGAUACCCUGGUAGUCCACGCCCUAAACGAUGCGAACUGGACGUUGGGCACACUUAGGUGCUCAGUGUCGAAGCUAACGCGUUAAGUUCGCCGCCUGGGGAGUACGGUCGCAAGACUGAAACUC